This 195-nucleotide ribosomal RNA is filed under the name uncultured Sphaerocreas. Its description in RNAcentral is "partial 18S ribosomal RNA". It matches the Rfam family "Eukaryotic small subunit ribosomal RNA", at positions 569 to 766 of the family's 1831-position model. Lineage: Eukaryota; Fungi; Mucoromycota; Endogonomycetes; Endogonales; Densosporaceae. The record is from RNAcentral.
AGCAGCCGCGGUAAUUCCAGCUCCAAUAGCGUAUAUUAAAGUUGUUGCAGUUAAAAAGCUCGUAGUUGAAUUUUAGCCCUGGCUGGGUGGUCCGCCUUUCGGCUGGUACUGCUCCGGCUGGGGUUCUCCUUCUGGCGGGCUAGCAUGCCCUUUACUGGGUGUGUUAGUGCGCCAGGACAUUUACUUUGAAAAAAU